UGAUCACUUUCAACAGAUUUUAUCAGAUAUUUAAGUAAAUAAUUAUUUAUAGAAAAUAAACAUAUAGAGUUCAUCAAUUUGAAAUCAAUUUCGAUUAUGCAAUAUAGUUCAUCCCAAAUUUAUUUCAUUUUCAAAAAUUUAAGUUUCUUUCAAGAUUUCAAUUUCUUUCAUUCUUAAGUUCUUUUCAUCAACCAUGAGUUAUGACCAUAUUUUUCCUAUGGCA
RNAcentral lists this long non-coding RNA (223 nucleotides) under Elaeis guineensis (African oil palm). Its description in RNAcentral is "long non-coding RNA (EGUI_LNC014392)". Lineage: Eukaryota; Viridiplantae; Streptophyta; Magnoliopsida; Arecales; Arecaceae. The record is from RNAcentral.